This 378-nucleotide ribosomal RNA is filed under the name uncultured bacterium. Its description in RNAcentral is "bacterial SSU rRNA". It matches the Rfam family "Bacterial small subunit ribosomal RNA", at positions 29 to 410 of the family's 1533-position model. The record is from RNAcentral.
AUUGAACGCUGGCGGCAUGCCUUACACAUGCAAGUCGAACGGUAACGCGGGGCAACCUGGCGACGAGUGGCGAACGGGUGAGUAAUGCAUCGGAACGUGCCCAGUAGUGGGGGAUAGCCCGGCGAAAGCCGGAUUAAUACCGCAUACGACCUACGGGUGAAAGCGGGGGACCGUAAGGCCUCGCGCUGUUGGAGCGGCCGAUGUCAGAUUAGGUAGUUGGUGGGGUAAAGGCCUACCAAGCCUUCGAUCUGUAGCUGGUCUGAGAGGACGACCAGCCACACUGGGACUGAGACACGGCCCAGACUCCUACGGGAGGCAGCAGUGGGGAAUUUUGGACAAUGGGCGCAAGCCUGAUCCAGCCAUGCCGCGUGCGGGAAG